Molecule: ribosomal RNA, 459 nt
Filed under: uncultured bacterium
Lineage: Bacteria
Description: partial 16S ribosomal RNA
Rfam family: Bacterial small subunit ribosomal RNA
Source: RNAcentral
CCUACGGGCGGCAGCAGUGAGGAAUAUUGGUCAAUGGCCGUAAGGCUGAACCAGCCAAGUCGCGUGAAGGAAGAAGGAUCUAUGGUUUGUAAACUUCUUUUAUAGGGGAAUAAAGGUAUCCACGUGUGGAUAGUUGCAUGUACACUAUGAAUAAGAAUCGGCUAACUCCGUGCCAGCAGCCGCGGUAAUACGGAGGAUGCGAGCGUUAUCCGGAUUUAUUGGGUUUAAAGGGGGCGCAGGCGGGCCUUUAAGCCGGAGGUGAAAUCGCGGGGCUCAACCCUGCCUAGCCGUCGGAACUGGGGGCCUUGAGUGCGGCGGAGGCAUGCGGAAUGCGCGGUGUAGCGGUGAAAUGCAUAGAUAUCGCGCAGAACCCCGAUUGCGAAGGCAGCGUGCCGUGCCGCCACUGACGCUGAGGCACGAAAGCGCGGGGAUCGAACAGGAUUAGAUACCCCUGUAGUC